RNAcentral lists this ribosomal RNA (841 nucleotides) under uncultured marine bacterium. RNAcentral describes it as "bacterial SSU rRNA". It matches the Rfam family "Bacterial small subunit ribosomal RNA", at positions 55 to 945 of the family's 1533-position model. The record is from RNAcentral.
AUGCAGUCGAACGAAGUAGCAAUACUUAGUGGCAGACGGGUGAGUAACAUGUGGGUAUCUUCCCUUUGGUGAGGAAUAACACGAGGAAACUUGUGCUAAUACCUCAUAAGUCUUUACGGAGAAAGCUUUAUGCGCCAAUGGAUGAGCCUGCACUUGAUUAGUUAGUUGGUAGGGUAAUGGCCUACCAAGACUUUGAUCAAUAGCUGAUUUGAGAGGAUGAUCAGCCACAUUGGGACUGAGACACGGCCCAAACUCCUACGGGAGGCAGCAGUAGGGAAUCUUGCACAAUGGAGGAAACUCUGAUGCAGCGAUGCCGCGUGAGUGAAGAAGGCCCUUGGGUUGUAAAGCUCUUUCGUCGGGGAAGAAAAUGACUGUACCCGAAUAAGAAGGUCCGGCUAACUUCGUGCCAGCAGCCGCGGUAAUACGAAGGGACCUAGCGUAGUUCGGAAUUACUGGGCUUAAAGAGUUCGUAGGUGGUUAAAAAAGUUGGUGGUGAAAUCCCAGAGCUUAACUCUGGAACUGCCAUCAAAACUUUUUAGCUAGAGUAUGAUAGAGGAAAGCAGAAUUUCUAGUGUAGAGGUGAAAUUCGUAGAUAUUUGAAAGAAUACCAAUUGCGAAGGCAGCUUUCUGGAUCAUUACUGACACUGAGGAACGAAAGCAUGGGUAGCGAAGAGGAUUAGAUACCCUCGUAGUCCAUGCUGUAAACGAUGUGUGUUAGACGUUGGAAAUUUAUUUUCAGUGUCGCAGCGAAAGCAAUAAGCACACCGCCUGGGGAGUACGACCCCAAGGUUAAAACUCAAAUGAAUUGACGGGGACCCGCACAAGUAGUGGAGCAUGUGGU